AAAGACUUAGGUUAUAUGACCGAGAGCCUUCAAAGCUCUAAGUAAGGGUGAAAGCCCCUUAGUCUUUG
This 68-nucleotide transfer RNA is filed under the name Cynoglossus puncticeps (speckled tonguesole). RNAcentral describes it as "tRNA-Trp". It matches the Rfam family "tRNA". From Rfam's summary of the family: Transfer RNA (tRNA) molecules are approximately 80 nucleotides in length. Lineage: Eukaryota; Metazoa; Chordata; Actinopteri; Pleuronectiformes; Cynoglossidae. The record is from RNAcentral.